Molecule: long non-coding RNA, 1350 nt
Filed under: Bos indicus x Bos taurus (hybrid cattle)
Lineage: Eukaryota; Metazoa; Chordata; Mammalia; Artiodactyla; Bovidae
Description: lncRNA (ENSBIXG00005024603.1)
Source: RNAcentral
CAGGAAUCGAACCCAGGUCUCUCUCAUUGUAGGUGGAUUCUUUACCAGCUGAGCCACGAGGGAAGCCCAAAAAUACUGAAGUGGGUAGCCGUCCAAAAUUCAGUCAGAAAAGGAAUGAAGCUGGGCAUUCACCUCUGGGAACCUGAGCCCCAGGUAAGAGUCUGGCUAUGGUGAAGCCACCAUUUUGGGAGAAAGUUCAAGCCCCACAGAGAUGCCGUGUGUAUGCUCUCUGACCAGCAGCCCCAGGUGAGGUCGUGGUCAGCAACCAGCACCAUGUGAAGGAACCAAAUGGCGGUCACCUUCAGAGGACUCCAGCCAUCUGGUUACCUUCGGUUGUCACCUGAGGCUCUGAGGCCUCAGAUGUUAACAGGGUUGAGGCAAGCCAGUCUCCUGUGCUCUAUCCACAUUCUGGACCAGAGAACUAUGAAUAUAGGAAGUUGGAUGUAUGCUACUAAGUUGGGGUGACUUGUUAUACAACAACAGAAACUACACGAGUGGCCAAGGAAAGUGUCCUGAAAGCUGGGUUAACCACCCCUCUUCCCCUUUCAUGAAUGCUGCCAGGAAGUGAGAUGCCAUUAGUCCUUUGGAGAGUUAGUCUCUCUUUAACAGAUAAUGACCCAGGCUCGGGGCCAUGGGAGCUGCCUCCUACAGGGUAGCUUUACUGAGAGCCCUCACAGCCCAGGGAACCAAAGUCAGCAGACCCUGCCAGGCAGAAAUGGCCUGCAUCUUCCCAGGCUCAAGGAAGGCACUGGCAGCUGAGAGCUGGCCGUUCGCGCUGGCUGAGUUCCAGGGCUGGAUUUGCUGGCCUGUGCUCAGCAAUUCUGAGCAUGAUGCAUGAAUGGAGCUCAAGUCGUGGGUUACUGCAGCAACCGAGGCCUCAGGAGAGGUGGGAGCAAAGCGCUGCCUUUGUGGAAAGACCAAAAAGCAACACUAAUCCAGCUACGUGGGACAUGACUCCAGGCUGCUUUGUGAGGAGUGGAGAUCAUUAUGGCAGAAUUCCAACCUCUGUUGUUUCAAAAGAAUCAAGUCAGCAGAGGCCUGGCCAGAAGUUCCUUCCACUCCUUAGUCCUGAGCAUCUAGACAGGGCAAACCAACGAGGGAUUACCACCGUCUUCUAACUCCCAAGUGCCCAUGGUGGCACCUGGCACAAGCAGCUAUCUCCCCAGGACUGUGCCUAUCCUCGUGGAGCUACACUGCCUUCCUCAGAAACCACUUCUCCCCCUGUUGUGCAAACAAGAAAACUGAAGCCCACAGAACUUUAUAUGACAAAAAUCGCAGCAACAUCUUUCUGGAUCCAUCUCCUAGAGUAAUGGAAAUAAAAACAAAAAUAAACAAAUGAGACCUAAUUAA